CUUGGUAAAUUUUCUGAAAGAAAAUUGUUUAACUUAAAAAGGNAAAAUUGUUUCAACUGUGACUUGUUACGCUGUACGCUCUCUGUAUUUUAAUCCGCUGCGCUAAACUCUUUUAAAAAUUAACCCCUCCGAUACCAACAUCUUCAUGUUUUAUGACACUCAUGGUUGCGUCAUUGUUUGUGGAAUUUAAAGUUAACUCUGUUUAUUCUUUAUGAGAUGAAUAUGAAGUUUCUUUUUCCUUGAUUUUUUCAGAAUUGUGAUUUUCAGAUAUUAGUUGAGGAAGAAGGAAAGUUGCUCCUGGAGUUUGAAGAUGCUGAGGAAAGUGAAUCAUCAUGGUUCAACUAUUUAAUCUGUCCAAUACAUCUGUUUUACCUUAAACGGAUGUUGAGAUCCGUUUUACCUUAAACGGAUGUUGAUAUCCGUUUUACUUUAAAUGGAUGUUGAGAUUCGUUUUACCUUAAACAGAUGUUGAGAUUUGUUUUACCUUAAACGAAUGUUGACAUCCGUUUUACCUUAAAUUGAUGUUCAUAUCUGUUUAAAGAUUUACGUGUUAAUUUAAGUUAGGUCAAUUACAUACCAAUACGCACCUUAGUCUUUUCACCUUCAACCACCACCGAGACCUUCGAACUCUAGCAAAGUUGCAACGAUUCCUCUCACCACCACCCACCUGUAACUUUUUUCACUCACCAAACUCUCGCACCACACAAUGAAAGAAAGAGGAUAAAAAAUUAAAAAAAAAAUAAAAAUAAAAAUACAAUGAAACAAAAACAAUGAGAAGGAAUGAAGUAGAACAUGAGAAAAAAGAGAUUGUGUACUCCUACAUGAAUAGAAGAUUAGAGUUAAAAAAUAUUAAUCUUAAAAGAUAGAUUUUACUUAUGGAUAAAAGUGGAAUGAAGAGGUGAAGGAAGAAAAGAAUACGGGUGGAAAGAAUAAUGACUAUUAAUAUACUGACUUGUGAUAUAUUAUAUAAUAAUCAUUCACAAAAACGAGAUAACACGAUUUUUUAUAAAUUUUAA
Molecule: long non-coding RNA, 1016 nt
Filed under: Vigna radiata
Lineage: Eukaryota; Viridiplantae; Streptophyta; Magnoliopsida; Fabales; Fabaceae
Description: long non-coding RNA (VRAD_LNC013448)
Source: RNAcentral